AGAGAGAGAGAGAGAGAGAGAAUUAGUUGAACACUUUUUUUAUCCCAUCCUUGAUUUUCAAUAGCGUAUAGUAGGGUUCUUUUUUAUAAUUUAUAUUAGAAUAAAAAAAAUUAAGAACUAAAUUAAAUUAUAAGCAAUUAACUUCGUAUAAUUUCCUUCUUUUAAUGCUUCAUAUUUCUGUUGUUGCGGAAAAAACAUGCUAUGUGUGAAAUCAUAUCCACCAGGCACAAACAAUGGAAUCACUAAAUCACAUGAAUAUAUUGAAAUAAGUAUAGAAAUGAAGAAAUUUUUGCCGCUAGGUUGGUGAUGCACAUUGCUUUGAGAACCCACAAAUCUGAUUUCUACAUUUUCGCUUCCUCAGAAGAUGCAGAUACCAAUCAUGAGUAGGAAAUUUAGAAGAGAUACAUAUUUUUCAUAUUCAUGAUCAAGACUUCAAAACUUGAUGCUUUAAGCUUAUUUUGUUUAUGGUGUCCAAGUUUUUUUGAAGUUGUAUGCUUAUCAUCUUUCAUUUGCAUUCGUAGGAUAAUUUUUUUUCAUUUAUUGUGGUAUAUCUGUUAAAUUAAGAAGUUUGCUGGUUGCUCGAUAUCCUCUCACCCUAAUCACUUGCAUUUUUCUCAACUUUUGAAUUACCGUUUUUCAUAUUUUUGUCAUUUUGGGAACAACUAAUUUCAUAUCCAUUUCUUUAAAAUCUUUUUAUUUAAAUUAUAUAUUUUAAAUAAAAUUUUUUAAUUUAUUUAAAAUGUCAAAUGAUUUAAAAAAUUAUUAUUUUAUCAUUUUUUCUUUUAAAUUCAUACUUUAAACACACUACAAAAUUCCCGCACAAUGCAUGGGCUUUGGACUAGUUCUAAUCAACUGGGAAGUGGUGAACAAAUUCAAAGGGUGCUAAAUGAAUUGGCUGGUAAUGCUUCUAUCCAGAGUAUUCUUCUUUAUUUAUUUUCUUUAAUGCAUUUAAAAAGUUUGAUUUUGAUUCCAUUCGCAGAAGUUAAUAGUGCAGAUAUUGAGAAACCAAGGCAUGAUGAUAAGGGAGCAGUUACUUGUAACUCCAUCUUCUUAUAUGCUAAGUGUUGCAAGAAAUUGGUGGUAUGCUAUUUUUCAUUAGUUUUAUGUUUCUUUUGUUCCAGCAGGUGAAAUUUUUUCUCACACGAGUAACUUGAAUUUCUAAUACAACCACAAUUAAUUUGAUAUUUUAAGGAUGUUAUAAGAAUUUAGAAUUUCCCAACUCCUGGAGAAGUGAGGACAAUGAUCCAGGUUCUUUUGUGUUAGCCUUAUGUGUCUAGAUACAUCCAACAUCUCACCUCCCUUGAAAGUUGAGCAACAAGUGGUUCUAUGACCCAGCAUGAUGGAAUGAUGAAGGCGACUUGUGAUGGCAAGCCCUUAAAGGCCAUACCGGAGAUUACUUUCCAGUACUCAAAAUGAUCAGAUGCCUUCAUGAUGGAAUGCUUUUGCCCAACUUGAGGCAAUGGGACAUCAUUUAUUACUAAGAAGUUAGGCAUGUUCAUAUCCUUCAAAUUCAAUAGAGUUUAGAAGGUUAUUUUUUUUACACCAUGUAUAAUAUAUAUGUUCUGCAAUUCUGUUAACUGCCCUGCAUAUGAUAUCACUUAACAAGUACUAAAAACUAUUCAAGCCCUUUUUUUUCCCCUUAUUCUCUUUAGUAAUGAUGUCAUUAAAUCUUGAAUUAUGCUAAAAGGUUUAUGCAUUUGGUUGUCUUUUCAAUCACUUGUGUACAGAAUCUACACUACUUGCUGCCUUUGCUUUGGAGUGAAAUACUGGUGAAGAAUCAAAUUUCGCUGUUGAGUUUUCUUCUCAAUCAAUAGAGGCUCUGAUCUGUAAAUAUUUUCUUUUGAUCCUCACAGAGAGGAUAUAUGUAUAGUUGUGUAUUUAAAUAUGUUUGAUGGGCAUGGAGCUUAAUAGGUUUUAUGGUUUCUUUUAGCUGUAAAAUUUAGGGGAAAUUCUAUAGGUUAGGGACGGGUGUGUCACAAGCUAUACUGCAAGAUGUUUUAUGCAGGUUUCUGUGGGCAGAGUGGACUUGUUAUCCCUAUGGAUUAGCUUUUGCCAGGUAUUAAUUUUGUUAUUAGUUUUUGUGUAUAUUUAUCAUCAGAUAAGUAAUUGGGUUACUAUGUGCUACACUAAAACCUUACAAACCAUGAUUUCGGCUAAUUAACGAAAAUCAAAUAUGAAAAUCAGAUGUGAAUAUCUAAGCAAAUUCUCAAUUGCCUCUUCUGCAGAAUGCUAACCCUAUAUGUUCACUGGACAUGGGAUACUCCCGAAGUUUCUUGGACCAACAAUACGAGUUAUUUGAGAAUGUUUUCCUCAACUGUCUGCUCAAUUCCACAUUCAACCACCCUUCUGCCUAUGAGAGAUUUACAUGGAUGGAAAAUUUCUAAUCAAAGUUUCUUGUUGUCUCAAAGACCUAUAGAGGAGCCUCUCAAAUUGCAGGCAUUUCUCAUCAAGCAAAUCUAAUUUAACAAAAUGAUCCACACCCCUCAAAUGUCAACACUUCAAUAGUUGUCCCACCAAGUGGAUGCUCUUGUUGAUGGCAGAUCCACAACCAGUUCCCAAUCUUUAAGUUUGUCAAGAUUUUUGUGUUGUAAUUAUAACUAUUUGAUUAUGUAAUGUUUUUCAGGCAGUUGUUGAGAUUGUGGCCAUAGAUAUUAUCCCUUCACAUGUUUUCUAUAAUAAUCAAACAGAAUUAAGCUUCAUUCUCUUCUCUGUUUGCCCUAUUUACUAAUAUUGGAACUUCAUAAUUACUAGCCAUGUGUAUUUUUGCCUUAAUAAUUACUAUGACCAUUUUUUUUUUUCAU
This 2801-nucleotide unclassified non-coding RNA is filed under the name Hevea brasiliensis (rubber tree). The record is from RNAcentral. Lineage: Eukaryota; Viridiplantae; Streptophyta; Magnoliopsida; Malpighiales; Euphorbiaceae.